This 496-nucleotide ribosomal RNA is filed under the name uncultured bacterium. Its description in RNAcentral is "partial 16S ribosomal RNA". It matches the Rfam family "Bacterial small subunit ribosomal RNA", at positions 28 to 506 of the family's 1533-position model. The record is from RNAcentral.
GAUGAACGCUGGCGGCGUGCCUAAUACAUGCAAGUCGAGCGAACAGACGAGGAGCUUGCUCCUCUGACGUUAGCGGCGGACGGGUGAGUAACACGUGGAUAACCUACCUAUAAGACUGGGAUAACUUCGGGAAACCGGAGCUAAUACCGGAUAAUAUAUUGAACCGCAUGGUUCAAUAGUGAAAGACGGUUUUGCUGUCACUUAUAGAUGGAUCCGCGCCGCAUUAGCUAGUUGGUAAGGUAACGGCUUACCAAGGCGACGAUGCGUAGCCGACCUGAGAGGGUGAUCGGCCACACUGGAACUGAGACACGGUCCAGACUCCUACGGGAGGCAGCAGUAGGGAAUCUUCCGCAAUGGGCGGAAGCCUGACGGAGCAACGCCGCGUGAGUGAUGAAGGUCUUCGGAUCGUAAAACUCUGUUAUUAGGGAAGAACAAAUGUGUAAGUAACUAUGCACGUCUUGACGGUACCUAAGCAGAAAGCCACGGCUAACUACGU